This 77-nucleotide ribosomal RNA is filed under the name Clostridium sp. K04. RNAcentral describes it as "partial 23S ribosomal RNA". It matches the Rfam family "Bacterial large subunit ribosomal RNA", at positions 2673 to 2749 of the family's 2925-position model. The record is from RNAcentral. Lineage: Bacteria; Bacillati; Bacillota; Clostridia; Eubacteriales; Clostridiaceae.
UGUCCUUAGUACGAGAGGACCGGGAUGGACUGACCUCUGGUGCACCAGUUGUUCCGCCAGGAGCAUGGCUGGGUAGC